GAGCGGAGCGGGGAGCGGAGCGGGGGAGAGGUGGCGCUCCUGAGAAAGGCGUUUGUUUGGGAAUGAAGAAGGUUUGGAUCCCGGUGCAUCCCGGGGGUUUCGAUGUUUCAAGUUCCGCUACUGUGAGAGUGUGAGAGAGAAUCCUCAAACUGUAUUUCUGGGCCUGAUGGGGAAAAUGGCAUCUACAUCAAAGGAAGAACAUUUCACAGCAGUUGAUGUUACAGGUGCCAUGAAAUGCGCACAAGGCCAUUGGUAUCCCUAUAUACCAGUCCCUAAUGGAAACUGGAUUGUGGUGACUAGAGUGAGAAUUUGAGGCACCUCAUGGCACUGUCUCAACUUCACAGGCUUUACAACCAAGUUCAUCUUCCUUUUAUGCUGGUAUUGAUACCAAGUCAACAGUAUAUUAAGUUCAUUCAAACUUCAGCAGAUCUACUGCAGCUGCUACAGCAAGGCUGUGGCUGCUCCCGUCCUUGAGGAAAGGAACACCGUGGGAGAAGGGCCCUUUCUGUGGGCUGUGCCUGGAAAUCACCAUCUUUUCUGCUUGUUGAUGCUCCAGCUGCAAGCCACUCCAAACAUCUUGGAGAGAAGGACCUGCAAGUCUUUGCUUCAGCAGGCACAGGAAUCAAUAUCUAUUUGCUAUGACAAGGACUUAGAGCAGCCACAUUUCCCGUUGAGCUGUGCCUGCCUGGGCUCUAAAUAGCCCCAUACCCCAUCCUGUCAUUAGUAUCAGCUUGAAAAUUCUACGGUCUUCCAACAGGAGAUUCCAAUGGUUUCACAGGUGAUUCUGGAACUAGUUUGGUUUUGAGUAAGGGCUUUUUUGGUAUAAGUUUUGACAUAGCCUCUGUUAUGUAUCUUUAAGAUCCUUUCCCACCCAAACCAUUCUGUGAUUCUGUGAAAGAAAAUGCACAGAUUCUCCCAAACUAAACUUUAAGAGAAUAUUUAUUCCUUAACAAGCAAUUCUACGAGGUAUGCAUACCUCUUAUUGUUACCAAAGAGUUCAAGUCAAUGAACUGAAAUCCAUAUGGAUUUCCUGAUGGCUUUUUUUUCCUAUCCCUAAAGGCUUAUGGAAUGAUAAACAGAUCAAAGAAUGGUUGUAGAAUGGUUGGGUUGGAAAGAUCAUCUCAUUCCAACCUCUCUGCUGUGAGCAGGGACACUUUCCACUAGACCAGGUUGCUCGGAGUCCCAUCCAACCUGGUCUUGAUUUGGAGUACAUUCAGUUCUAGGAAAUUCAGGUUUUUGUGUCUUAGGUACAGGCACUUAUUUGCAAAGUAGCAGUAUAUAUUUGUAAGUGUAGAUAUAAAAAGAAAAUAAACAGCUACUUAUAUGUAGCAGCUAAUCUUU
Long non-coding RNA from Corvus hawaiiensis (hawaiian crow), 1341 nucleotides. RefSeq lists it as uncharacterized. The transcript is spliced from 4 exons. The record is from RefSeq and is a predicted model, not a curated record. Lineage: Eukaryota; Metazoa; Chordata; Aves; Passeriformes; Corvidae.